GGAGAGUCUGGGCUCUGAAUAUCCUGGUUAUAGAGCCUGGAUUUAACAGGAUUGAAAUCUAAUUUACAACACAGGCUCUGUAAGUAAAUCCCAGUGACUUGUCCCAGGUGAGAUGGUGCCAGCCUCCUCCCAGCUCCUCCUCCAGGGAAGGACGAGCAUUUCAUGUGGCAGUAGAGCAAAUCUUACUCUUUGCUGAAUGACUUGGCCUCCAGCCAGGCUUUGAUUUCUUCAGUGCUGGAUUCAAAGCAGCUCGUCGUUCAGCUCAUCCAUUUGGUGAAUAAGUUCUGUAGAAACAGAUCUGUGAGAAUCUACAAUUGGAGAGUUGGGAUUGAGACCUUUUCAGUCCUCUCUGCUACUUUUAGUCAGUGAUUUGCAGAUCCCAGAGCUGCAGAUUUUGCUCCACAGCGGAAGAGAAGCGUCAGGAAUCACAAACUGGGAGUGAGGAACACGCUCAUGAUGAGAUGAGCUUGAAGGUCCCUUCCAGCCCAGGCCAUCCUGUGAUUCUGGGAAAACUCCAGUGACACUUCAUCCAGUGUCACUUUCCCUCUGAAACUCCUGAGGACUGUGGAGAAUAACUCGGUGUUAGGAACAGGUUCGUGCCCAGCAGGGGAUGAGCAGGGCAUGACAGGGAGUUGCUGUCCUCCCUCCUCACUGUGGUUAAGAUGGGACUGAUGUGGUUGAGCUGAGGAAGUGACACAGCCCAGCACUGGCAGCCUGUUCCAGCUUUGGAUUUGAGCAAAGCUCCAUGUCACUGCUAGACACCACCAGGGAAAAUGGAGUUGGUGCUUGCUGGUAUCCUGAGCUCUCUCCUGCAAAUCUCCUGGGCACAGCCACUCCCUGGGCCUCAAAAUUCCUGCAGGAGAGAAAAACUGAGUUUUAGUGGAGGCCUAUCUUAAAAUGGAACCAAAUGUGGGUUCACUGGUGGAACAGGAAUGGUGGUGGCCGGGAGUUUGCGUUUGGAGGGGCAGAGUCCCUCUGCUUCUCUUUUCAGGAAGAUUUUCAGCCCUUGUUUCAGUGAAAUCCUCUGGGGCUGGGAAUAAGCAAACAAACCAAAGCUGUUGGGGUUUGAUAUGGGGCCUUCCUGGGGGGCUGUGAGGCAGCUCCUGGAAGGGUGGAAGGAAAUGCUGCUUUAGGGCCUGGGGGGCUGACACAGCAGGACCCAAAGGCUCUGAUUGCAGUUUCCAGGAAAGAUGAGGUCUAAAACCCUCCCUGUCCUGCCCAGUGGAAACAACUGCUACAGAUGCCACAGCAGGGAGCAACUGGGGAAGGUGGAAUUGAAAAUCUAAGCAGGCAAAACACACUGGAAAUCUGUGGGGGUUUUAUCAGGCAAUGCUGAGCUGCUGGCACAGAAUUCUGCAGGUUCCCAGAAAAAGUGGGUUUGGAUGUUUCUAUGCUAAGAUGUAUUUGGGCACAGGGGAAGAGAAAUGCAUCAAUGUGUUAGCUUGGGACACCAGAAUAUAUGGUUCUCAAAGUUGAAUUGGCUUUUUGUUUGAAGAGAGACAAAAUGAAUAUGGUAGAUUGUUGAAAAUGGUGAAAAAGUGGAAUGAAAGGUUCUUUUUGACCCAAACUGAAAAGUUUUGCUUUGGUUUUUUUUUUGGUUUUUUUUUUUUUGUUUUGU
Molecule: long non-coding RNA, 1618 nt
Organism: Vidua chalybeata
Lineage: Eukaryota; Metazoa; Chordata; Aves; Passeriformes; Viduidae
Exons: 3
Source: RefSeq, a predicted model, not a curated record